RNAcentral lists this transfer RNA (71 nucleotides) under Podarcis lilfordi (Lilford's wall lizard). RNAcentral describes it as "tRNA.Ile". The record is from RNAcentral. Lineage: Eukaryota; Metazoa; Chordata; Lepidosauria; Squamata; Lacertidae.
GGAUAGCUCAGUUGGUUAGAGUGUGGUGCUGAUAACACCAAGAUUUGCAGGUUUGAUCCCCAUAUGAGACA